AUACGGAGGGCGCAAGCGUUGCGCGGAAUCACUGGGUGUAAAGGGUGCGUAGGCGGGGCUGUAAGUCAGAGGUGAAAGCCCUCGGCUCAACCGGGGAAUUGCCUCUGAUACUGCAGCUCUUGAGUCCCGGAGAGGCCGCUGGAAUUCCUGGUGUAGCGGUGAAAUGCGUAGAUAUCAGGAGGAACACCGGAGGCGAAGGCGGGCGGCUGGACGGGGACUGACGCUGAGGCACGAAAGCGUGGGGAGCAAACAGGAUUAGAAACCCUAGUAGUCC
This 274-nucleotide ribosomal RNA is filed under the name uncultured bacterium. Its description in RNAcentral is "partial 16S ribosomal RNA". It matches the Rfam family "Bacterial small subunit ribosomal RNA", at positions 523 to 796 of the family's 1533-position model. The record is from RNAcentral.